UACGUAGGGGGCUAGCGUUGUCCGGAUUUAUUGGGCGUAAAGAGCGUGUAGGCGGCCAGGUAGGUCUGCUGUGAAAACUCGAGGCUCAACUUCGAGCUGUCGGCGGAAACUAUCUGGCUAGAGUCCGGAAGAGGAGAGUGGAAUUCCUGGUGUAGCGGUGAAAUGCGCAGAUAUCAGGAAGAACGCCCGUGGCGAAGGCGGCUCUCUGGGACGGUACUGACGCUGAGACGCGAAAGCGUGGGGAGCGAACAGG
This 253-nucleotide ribosomal RNA is filed under the name uncultured bacterium. RNAcentral describes it as "partial 16S ribosomal RNA". It matches the Rfam family "Bacterial small subunit ribosomal RNA", at positions 524 to 776 of the family's 1533-position model. The record is from RNAcentral.